CUGAGAAUGAUAUGCCAUCUGGGAGCAUUCCUCUGGCUUGCAGAGUUUGUUUUAUAAGCUUCAAUACAGUGACACCAGUGUAGCAACAAAAGAGUUGACAAAGUCUUUUGGCUGGGACACAUAUGAUUCUUUCAUGCAGCAUGAUGUGCAAGAACUUAAUAGGGUUCUUUGUGAGAAGCUUGAAGAUAAAAUGAAGGGAACAGUUGUGGAGGGCACAAUACAACAGUUAUUUGAAGGACACCAUAUGAAUUAUAUUGAAUGCAUCAAUGUGGACUAUAAGUCGACAAGAAAGGAAUCAUUUUAUGAUCUUCAGCUUGAUGUCAAAGGCUGUCGAGAUGUUUAUGCUUCUUUUGACAAAUAUGUGGAGGUGGAACGCCUUGAGGGUGAUAAUAAAUAUCAUGCUGAGCAACAUGGGUUACAGGAUGCUAGGAAGGGUGUCCUCUUUAUCGACUUUCCCCCUGUUCUUCAACUUCAGUUGAAACGAUUUGAGUAUGAUUUUAUGAGGGAUACCAUGGUAAAGAUAAAUGAUCGCUAUGAGUUCCCUUUGCAACUUGAUCUUGAUAGAGAGGAUGGUAAAUAUUUAUCUCCUGAGGCAGACAGAAGCGUACGCAACCUUUACAUGCUUCACAGUGUUUUAGUUCAUAGUGGUGGUGUGCACGGUGGGCACUAUUAUGCAUAUAUCCGGCCGACCCUCGCAGAUCAAUGGUUUAAAUUUGAUGAUGAGCGGGUAACAAAGGAGGAUGUGAAAAGGGCACUAGAGGAGCAAUAUGGUGGUGAGGAAGAG
RNAcentral lists this unclassified non-coding RNA (784 nucleotides) under Hevea brasiliensis (rubber tree). The record is from RNAcentral. Lineage: Eukaryota; Viridiplantae; Streptophyta; Magnoliopsida; Malpighiales; Euphorbiaceae.